AUCAAAAACAUAGCUUGAAGUUUUAUUUUAGGUAAAUUCUGCCCAGCGUAAAUAUUAGCGGCCGCAGUACCUUGACUGUGCUAAGGUAGCAUAAUCAAUUGGCUUUUAAUUGAAGUCUGGAAUGAACGGAUUAAUGAGGACUUGCUGUCUCUAAAUAAUUUAUUUGAAAUUAUUUAUUAAGUGAAAAUACUUAUAAUUAGAAAAAAGACGAGAAGACCCUUAGAAUUUUUAAUAAAAUAUAGAUUAAUAUUAUUUUUUUGUUGGGGCGACAAAGAAACAUUUAAACUUUCAUUAUUUCAUGACAUUAAGAUUUGAAAGAAUAAAUUACCUUAGGGAUAACAGCAUAAUUAAUAAAUUAGUUUGUGACCUCGAUGUUGGACUAGGAACUAGUUGACUAACAGUCAAAAUAGAUUGUCUGUUCGAACAGAAAUUCC
RNAcentral lists this ribosomal RNA (434 nucleotides) under Ladislavella elodes. RNAcentral describes it as "partial 16S ribosomal RNA". It matches the Rfam family "Archaeal large subunit ribosomal RNA", at positions 1898 to 2665 of the family's 2987-position model. The record is from RNAcentral. Lineage: Eukaryota; Metazoa; Mollusca; Gastropoda; Lymnaeidae.